Long non-coding RNA from Polyodon spathula (Mississippi paddlefish), 1005 nucleotides. RefSeq lists it as uncharacterized. The transcript has 3 exons. Lineage: Eukaryota; Metazoa; Chordata; Actinopteri; Acipenseriformes; Polyodontidae. The record is from RefSeq and is a predicted model, not a curated record.
AAGAACUUGAUUAAAGCCUAUGGUUGAUGGGCUUUAGGUUUUUGAGCUCCUUCACUUUGUAGCUUACUUCCCAAUGUUAUCGGUCAUGCUGAGUGUGUCAGUAUUUUAAAAUCUAAGCUCAAGACAUAUCUCUUUAAUUUGACCAUUUACUAGCUAGCAGUUUGGAGUUUAUUUAUUUAUUUAUUUAUUUAUGGUAUGGUACUAGUCAUUUGACUCAAUUCACUGACAUUGACCGCAUAACCUAAAACUAACCAAGUAAAUGUAAUGUAAAUGUAAAUGAAUGUAAAUCAAUAUCAAUGUAAAUCCAGUUUUUAUUUUUUUUAUUGGUCCGAGACAAACUAGACAGACUUUUUUUUUAUCUGACCUCGGCUUGGCAUGCUUAACUCUCACUUGUUCUUCAUCAGUAGAGUAGAACCUUCAUCUGCGGGCACUAUGGCACAAUUACAGACGUCAGAACAUUCAUCCACCAAUCAGGAAGUGCCAUUAGAGGUCUAGGUCAUAUUGCAGACAGGAAAUGCAGCUGACUUCCUGUUUCCUCCCACCGCCGAGCUGACCCGUCUAUGGGGAAGUGCAUCACCAACCUUACACAGAGCCCUUUCUGGUUGGGAGGGGGAUUUACAGCUCCGAUUCUUUCUCUUUCGGCCUUGGAGAUCGAUCUGUUCUGUCUCACCUUUGCGAAGAUGCUCUCAUGCAGCCCUCAAUCAUGCCUCAAUCAUGCCCAGUGAAUACUAGCAUUGUUGUGCAGUACAGGCCAGGUGAGCCUAGGGGCAGAGAUUUGCUGGGAUGGUCUUUGUCCUCCAGAGGCCAGUAACCUGCAGACAUCCUCUUCGAGUUCCUGGGUGUAAAAAGACGCAGAUUGGCUUGAGGGAUCGGAGGACGCCCACUGAGCCUCGGGUCCCGGAGCUGUGUGGGGAAAAUAGAUAAACAAGAACAAGGAAUAGAGCAUUGCAGAGCCUUAGAGUUCCUGUGUAAUUUGUAUUGUACAGUGUAUUAAACUGUAAAUGU